Molecule: non-coding RNA, 30 nt
Filed under: Mus musculus (house mouse)
Lineage: Eukaryota; Metazoa; Chordata; Mammalia; Rodentia; Muridae
Source: RNAcentral
UGUCCCAAGUGCUAACUUACGUUUUACCUU